UACGAGGGGGGCUAGCGUUGCUCGGAAUCACUGGGCGUAAAGCGCACGUAGGCGGAUUGCUAAGUCAGGGGUGAAAUCCUGGAGCUCAACUCCAGAACUGCCCUUGAUACUGGCGGUCUCGAGUCCGGGAGAGGUGAGUGGAACUGCGAGUGUAGAGGUGAAAUUCGUAGAUAUUCGCAAGAACACCAGUGGCGAAGGCGGCUCACUGGCCCGGUACUGACGCUGAGGUGCGAAAGCGUGGGGAGCAAACAGG
Molecule: ribosomal RNA, 253 nt
Filed under: uncultured bacterium
Lineage: Bacteria
Description: partial 16S ribosomal RNA
Rfam family: Bacterial small subunit ribosomal RNA
Source: RNAcentral